CACAGCCGCGGUAAUACGGAGGGUGCAAGCGUUAAUCGGAUUUACUGGGCGUAAAGCGUGCGUAGGCGGCUUCUUAAGUCGGAUGUGAAAUCCCUGAGCUUAACUUAGGAAUUGCAUUCGAUACUGGGAAGCUAGAGUAUGGGAGAGGAUGGUAGAAUUCCAGGUGUAGCGGUGAAAUGCGUAGAGAUCUGGAGGAAUACCGAUGGCGAAGGCAGCCAUCUGGCCUAAUACUGACGCUGAGGUACGAAAGCAUGGGGAGCAAACAGGAUUAGAUACCCCAGUAGUCCCUGUCUCUUAUACA
Molecule: ribosomal RNA, 301 nt
Filed under: uncultured bacterium
Lineage: Bacteria
Description: partial 16S ribosomal RNA
Rfam family: Bacterial small subunit ribosomal RNA
Source: RNAcentral